CAUUCUGCAACUCCAAAGACAAGAGGUAGGGCAUUCCUUCACGCUCCUUUUUCUUAAUUACAAUUAAAACGUCUGUGAUCUCUCCUUAGAUCUCCCUCGAAGGACCCGGGUGCUUAAAUUCUGCAGACAGCUGGGAACAGCUGAUUAACACACUUCACGUGGUGCUGAAGCCUGGCUACAAAACAGUUUCCCUAAGCCACUCUUAUUUCCAUACUAACUUCUACUGCAGAAGCAAACAUGUAUUCUAGCCAGAACAAAAAGCAUAGCCCCAGUAUGUAAUUUUGGAACAACUUUACCCAUGGGGAAGCUUCUGUAAAAAAAUUACAUAUUUAAAAGGAAAGUAUUAUCAGUUUUGAUGAAGCAAGCCAAACUCAGUCACGGGGAGAACAAAUAGCGUGUUUACCCUGAAACACCGUGCCAGGACCUGUGUUUCUUUACACUACAGCGUCUGUGAGAGGAAAUGUAUCUGUCACAUUCUCUGAACUUUAUCACCGAUCUGUGGAUGGUUUUAAAAGAGUGAAAAAUAUGGUGUGAUGCUAAACAUCUCUAAAUGUACUAAUUAAGGGUGAUCUCUUGGGGAAUCAAUGGUUAGGGCCAUUUAUGCAUUUGAUUAAGAGUCUCUGUGCUUUCUUUAGAGUGAAAAUGGUGUCCUUGCAUAAUGUACAUCUCUGUAACUCUAAUUUGCCUUGGGACUUGAUUUCCGCAACCAUUGUGCAAUUCCAGUGUUCGGAUCUCACAGUCCAAAAACUACUAGCCAGGUGAUUGUGAAAUUUAAUAAUGUAUGAGGCCCUUUCCUGAACUAUUAAGUUAGGUAGGACAGCCACCAAGGAUAACUUGUCAAAACAUGGGUCUGUCCCUUCAGGAGUGUGCCCAGCAGUGCCUUGAGAAGGACUCAUCCUAAGAGAACAGGGCAGUGUGCAGUGAAGAGAAGCCACUGAAGAAGCUUUGGUCAUUGCUGGACCCAGCUACACAUCAGCAGCCCUCCUGUACUAGAAGACAUUGAAGGUCUCCCUCCUCCAAUGUACCCAUGUGCAGCUGGGCUGGAGGAACCAGAUCCCAGAGCAAAGUUCUCAGCUGUGCAUACCACCAGCUUUUCACAGAGGGACACUUCAAAGUCAUUUCCAAAAGUUAACUUAAAGGAAGCUUGCCAAUCUGGAACCUGGCUGUGGGAUCCAGCGCACAUUUGACUUCUUUCUCAUCCGAAGAGCUGAGUUCAAAGUCUUGGAGCAGCUGUAGCCACCGGGUGGAGGACACGACAUUGGGACUUGGUGGUGAGCAUCUAGAUUUGCAAUUGGAAAAACUUUAAGAGGUUUCUUAAAGAAAAAUCAGGUGAUACUGAAGCUCGCGUGUCCGACCCAUUUCACUUCACAGGACGGUCUCAAGGUGCAUCCGCUUUCCUACGGAUGACUCGAGUGGGUCCUUGACAGCAGCCUUGGAAACGGCAGUGGCUAUGAUCACAAGGACAGCCAGAGUGGAGAAAGACCCCGAGUGACUGUCAGGGGACCCAGUCACAAGUAAUGUCCACCAGCGGGCUGGUCCAUUAGCAUGUUGGUUUAGUUGCUCAUUCAUUACUGCAGAUUGGUGCUACGCAGUGGAUGAGGGCCAGCGUCCUGGUCACUUCCUCAGAAACACAGAUUCCUGGGCUCUCUGCACCUCCUGUGGUAGGGAGUUCCUAAGAAGAGGCAGCAGUGAUCGGAUGUCAGUUCUGAGAGGCAGUGACACAAAGACCCAGGUAUGGCCUUGGCUGGCCUUUCACUUGCUAUGAAGGAUGCCAGCUGCAACUGUGGACAGCCUUCUGGGAGGUCCACGUGAUAAGGAGCUGAUGCCUUCCGUCAAGUCCUGCCUGACUGCUCAAGGCCUUGGGCCCCGUGAAACCCCUGACAUCCACAUUGGAGCCUUGUGAGAGACUCAGUGGUGACCCACAGAAGCUGGGUGGUCAGGAAUGUUUGUUGUUUGAACCCUCUAUUUUGAGAUUAAUUUGUUAUGCAGCAUUGGGUAGCUAAUACAACUACUGCAUCAGAAACUCUGCAAGUGGGGCCAGGAAUGGAUAUUUUAACAUGUUUUCCAGGUGAUUCCUAUGCACAAUUUCAGAGGCAUUUUAUACCCAAACUCAAAGCAAAAGCUUUUGAGUCAAACUCUAGGGUUCAAAUCCCAGUUGGGUCAAUUCCCAGCCCCAAGGGCUUGAGUGGUAACUGACCUCUCUGAGCUUUCAUUUCUUCUGUAAAAUGUCACUUAUUUACACCAGUAUGUACUUCAGGGCUGUGAAAAGCACUCACUGGAUUAUCAUAUUUAAAACAGUGCAUCGCCUGUCAACGGUGAGCACAGUACAUUUAGCAAUGAUGAAGUCACCCUGCAGACUCUACAAGGGGCGGGCAUUGUGCUAGCUGCUGAUGUUCCAUGGGCACAUCAGACAUUGCCCACUUCCCCUGGCACCAGUGCCCUGGGGAUGGGGAGGGACAGCUGAAGACUCUGGGACCGACUUCUGCAGUCUGGAGGCCAGACGUGGGCUCUCCCAUGAACCAACACUUGCAGGAAAGAUGCAAGGUGUGGGCUGGAGCCAGCUCAACACUCACGUCUGGUUUUUGGAAUCUCUACAGCUUCCUUUUCAUAUGGACAACAGGCAAACCUGUCAUAGCAGCUGACUCUUCAGAGAGAAGCUGCUGGAAGGAGGUGGAUCGUCCGUGUCUCUUUCUCGGGGCUCCAGCCAUGGGUUUAAUUUUUGCUCCUGACCAGACUGCCCACCUCUUAGCCCCGCCCUCUUUCUGGAAGGUUCUUUCCACCCUCCUUGCUCGGUGGGCCCAUUCUGAUCCUUCGUCUGCUUAAUGCCUCUCGGGGAAGUCUGCCCGCCGGUCCUCUCUGAGAACUUCCCGUUUGCCCAGCAGCGCUGCCCUCAGCACUUAGUGAGUUGCUGGUUCUCCUGUUUGCCGUCAGCAUCUCCAGCAGACAUCACUGUCUCUGGUCUGUUCUACUUGCCAUGCUGCACACCACAAGAGGAGGAGGUGAAUGGAUAAAUGGGCUCCAGAUAUCAUGCAAAUGGCUUGGAAACUUGUGUAUCAGCCACAAGAAUCCCAGCAUUCAAAGAAACCAAGGAAGCGCUACCAAGAAACCACCUUGGAGCACGCAGAGGUCACCUGAGGGACUCACUGUGGUCCACCACGUCGGCGUGAAGCAGCAAGAGACCCCGGAUUCCAUGCGUGGCUCACCAGAAACGAUUUAGACAAUCGUGCGAUGCACUUAGCAAAAGAAGACUGGACGUGAUGUAACCUUCUUGAGUGACUCAGCAGGCACCUGCCAGGGUCUCUGGGUUACGGUCAUGAGUUAUGACUGUACCACGGGACCAUAAAAGAGCUAGAUGAUUAAAAAUAAUCUUGUUGACAGAAUGUAAGACAAACUCGAUUCUACUGCAUGUCCAGGACAGGGUUGCCAGCCAAUUGCAGAAUCCAGAGGGCUCGGCUCUGAUGGGAAAACGGGCUUGAACUGUGGGGUGAUGGGUUCCCCAAUUUCCUCGUCUUCCUGAGUGAAUGCUUCUCAUUUUCUCUCAGUCACUGCAUCUGUGGAUGGAUCUACAGAUGUCUAUGGAAGCCCACGCAGACGUGGCCACUUCCUCCUCUUGUAGGAUGUCACCUGGGUCAGCGUGGGUGUGUUUAUUUCUUCCUGUGUCUCUUUCUUCCCUGGGGUGAGGGUCCCUAGAAGUGGGGACUCGUAUGGCACCUACAUCUUUUUUUUUAUUUGUGUACAUGUUGGUGUGUGUGAUGGUUAGUUACAUCUGUCGUGGAGGAUCUGUGCACACACACACACACACACACACACACACACACACACGCUUGAAGGUGUGCGAGAGUGGAGAACGCAGCAAUUGUGGACAAGCAAUCAGGUAGGGCCUCUGUCUCCUCCACCAGGGGUCAGUAAAACUUUUAUGGGACACCCAAGAUGACACCCACAUUUAGGAGAGGUCCUGUUUCUUGGCCACCAUUUGUCCCUCAGAAAAGGAAAACUAGAGGCUUCUGAUAGAAUUGCAAAUUCUAGGGUCAGUCCCAGAUCCAGCAAAUCAGAUGCUCUGGAGUCAGCACCCGGCACCCGUCUGAAGGGCCCAUCAGGCGAUUCUGACUCCUGCUGACAUUGAGCCACUGGUCUCAUGCUUCUAACUCAUUUCUGCCUCAGGACAUUUGAACUCGCUAGACCUUAGGCCUGGGGCACUCUGAAGGCCCCAGCAACCCUGCCUGCUGGACCUCUGAAUGAUGCAGAGAAUGAAACUGCCAACCUACUAUGUCCGGUAUGAGCUUGUGUUCUCUAAAAUUGAAGAAUGAAUUUUAGGAACACAAAGGUUAAGAGUAGAGUAUAUUGGCGAGGGAUUUAGCUCAGCAGCAUAAGCGCCUGCCUUGCAAGCAGGCAGUCAUGAGUUCGAUCCCUGGUACCAAUGAAAAGGAAAAAGACAAAAAAAAAAAAAAAGUGUCUUCAAGAGUAGAGUAUAUUUAUUAAGAGAAGGAAAGCUUCUGUCUAAAGAGAGACAGAAGGGGUCCUGAGCGGGUUGCCCAGGACUCUGUCUUUCCUAGGGACUUUUAUAGAACAAAAUCAUGGGGUGAGACAGGUUCAAGGUGGGGGAAGACUGGGAACUCACAAGGCAGAUGGGCAUGAGGUGGGACGUAACUAUAGUUAGCCAAUAGGAUCAAUAGUUCAGGUAAAAUUGAUUACAUUGGGGACAAAUGGGGCAGCAAGUCACAUAGAAAGUGGGCAUUCUUAAGGAGCAGUGACUCUUCCCUAGAGGGUUGGGGUGGUGACUCCAGGCUUCCUCGGGGUGACAGGGAGCUAACCAUUUAGAAUAUCAGUCCUUAGGAUGUGGGUGCAUUUGUGUGAUCUUUUGUCCUGAGGCCCGGCCCACAGCAGGAGGGGUCAGUCUCCCCAGUUGCCAGGUGUCUGCUCUGCUCCACUGAGGCCCAGCCCUGUCUGGCUGCCUGUAAUAUUUCUAACCAACUCAGUUGCCUGCAACAGUGGGACAUCCCCUCGCCACAGAGACUUCCCCACCUAGCCCUUUACGGUCAGCCUCCCUGGUUUCUUCACCCCGGUCUAUGGCGUUGUCUCUGGAAGCUCUCCACUGAACGAUCAGAAAUUACCUGAUCCUGGUCCGUUCACUUGUUAUUCAUCAUCCGACUCCUCCAGGUGAAUGACAGCAGAUGCUCCUGUCUUCCAUACCACUCUGCCCUAUACCUAUGUACCCAGCACAUAGUAGGUCCUUAACAAAAAGUUUCCCCGAUUAAUGUGCAGGAGAGUUUUUAUUAUCAUUGUUGUUGUUGUUAGCUGCCUUGAAGAGGGAAGACAAAUUCAAAGGCAGGUGCAGUGCUGUGGGCCGGCCUUGCAUGAAGCUCGAAGCUGAGGAUCCAUUCUAAAUGCAUCCCUUGAAAAUCUGCUGCCCUAGGGCUGGCUGGUCCAUCAGACCCUCGGGUCUUUGCCAGGCUGGGUUUGUUUCCCAAGAGCAGCAGCAUCUGCAGACAGCUCUGGAAUCACUGCUGGGGAUGCAGGUGGAUAUGGGGGCUGGGGAAGAGGCAGGACUGCUCCUUACCACAAGGGAUGAGCAGACCUAGCUGGCAAUGGUGCCCAGGUCCAGAAUGCUGACCUUGGCCUUGGCCUCCUGCUCCUCUCUGACCCUACACUCCCCGCUCCUCAGCACGUAUACUGUAAGGACCAGCGGUGCCAGACCAGGUGCACAGUGAGGUUCACCUAAGGAGUGGGAAGGACCUGCUGGGUCCCCCUGAGCCUGAGUCUCAGUGCCCUGUGUGUCAUGGCUGAGGAGGACCGUGGCUGUCGUGGUCACCUCAGGAGGAACCCUGGCCUGGGACUCCAGAGGUGCCGGUGGCGGCCCCCUCACCUGGCCCUUGAUUAAUUCCCUGCGGCCACCAUCCUCCUCCCCUGCUUAGGUUCACUCUCCUGUGUUAGUGCACGCAGGAGAAGCCACUGCUCCUCUCACCGCUGGUGUCCCGCAGAUGUACCCAGCACCUCUUACCCUUCCUGGCCUUCUUCCCUGCCCUCGCACCCUGCCCCUAACUCCCCACUUGCACAAGAUCUGUCUCUCUGUCUCAUUUAAUUUAAUUUUUGUCUUCUUGAGAUAGAGUUUCACUCUGCAGUUCAGGCUGUAGCCCAGGCUGCUCUGGAAUUCCCAAGGAUCCUCCUGCCUCAGCCUCCCAAGCGCUGGGAUUACAGACAUGCACCACCAUGCCUGGCUUUCCUGUCUCCUUUAUCUGCCGUCCAGUUGUCUAGUCAUACUCUUGGCUUCUCAGAUAAGAGAACCCACUUGAUCCUGAACUGUCCGCUGGGUCUGAUUUAUGUCCCGUGACAUGAUGGUUUCUUGGCGCCUCUGUUUUUCCACAGAUGACUCCAGCUGGUCUGCUUUGUGGCACAGUGAUACCCCACUUUAUCCACUCACCUCGUGGUGCACACGUGGGCCGCUUCCAAGGCUUAGCUCUGGGGAGUUGUAGGACUGUGACCACGAGAGAGCGUGGACUUCAGUCAUCUGAUGCCUUCCAGGCUUCUGAGAAGAUGCCUGGGGGGCCCUAAUUGGGCGAUCCGGGUGUCUAUAUUAGGUCGUUUGAGGCCUCUCCGUGCUGAGGCCCACGGAGGUUGCCCCAGCCCACACUCCCACCACAGCGGAGCAGGGUCCUUCCUCCCCACCGCCCUGCCGGGAGCACUUGUUAUAGAUUGCUGCCUUUAUGAUGGCCCCCCUUUCAGGCCAAGAUGAAACUUUGGGCUGCUUCAGUUGGGGUUUCUGUGGGGGCCAUCGGCGUCCAGUAUCUUCUCAGGUAUCUGUGGGCCGUGUUCUUCCUCUGGGUGCUUACUUCUUGCUCCACCUCCUCCCUCGUUCCCCCUCCUUGGUCCACGUGGGCGAUGGUGACUCUCACCUAAAGGAUCCCAGAUGUCGGACCCUGCAAGUCUGAGCCCGGCCCUCAGUCCCUGCUGGCUGCAGGGAAAGAUCUGGCCCUGGGCUCCGAUUCUGCCUUGGCAUCAAGCUCCCCAAGUCCGCUGGGCUUUCCCUAAGAACCCAGCUGCUACCCUGUCACAUGUCAUCUGAGUGACACUUUAUGAAGAUUGAUUGGGUAUAUUCACCACCAUUUAAACAUUUACUAAUUCUGGCGUUUCAAUAUGUUUUCCAAUUUUGGACUCGUCUUUUUCCCAAUGGAAAUGUAAUCAUAGACCUUUGAAAAAUCAUUUGUGUCUGGGGUGCUGUGUAUAGAAAAAGGGACGUCUGACAGGCAAGAUGUACACACCUAGAAUCCUAGCUACUCGGGAGGCUGAGGCUGGAAGACUGCGAGCUCAAGACCAGCCUGGGCAACUUGGUCAAACCCUGCUUCAGAAUAAAAAAUAAAAUGGGUGGAGGGUAAUAACUGAGUGGGGAGGGCCCUGGGUUUGAGCCCUGCUCUACAUUUAAUCUCCAGUAUAGAAAACAAAAAGAAAGAGAAGGAGAAAGAGAAAGAGAAAGGAGAGAAAGAAAGAGGUUUUAGUUUCCUGUGUGCCUGUGAAAGCAGGGGAGUGUUUUCUAGGACUCCCACGCCAAACAUUCCCAUUUUUGCCUUAUAGACAAUGGGAUCGAAUUAAUUAAUUAGCUGAACAAAUAGGAGUUUAGUGACAGACACUAUAGUUGCUGGUACUGUAUUGGAGAAUAGAAAACCCAAGCUCCUGCCCCAUGGAGCUCACACUGGAAAUGUAACAGAUAAAUAAAUUAACAAAUCGGCAUACAGUCUGCCAGGUGUUGAUUGGUGUUAAGGAAGAAAAUAAAAUAGCACAAGGGGCUAGGAGAGUGGAGAAGGUGCCGCUGUUUGAUUUAGGUGGUCUCUAGAGAAAGCUAAUCUGAGAAGAGACUUGAAGCCAGUCAGGAAGCAUUCCCUGUGGAUACAGAGAGCAGACUGGCAAAGGCAAGCAUGUGCAGAGGUCCUGGGGCAGGAGCAUGUUUAGCAUAAGUGAGGAACAGCAAAGUCUCCAGCUGGGCUGGAGAAGAGAGAAUGGCCUAC
Cavia porcellus (domestic guinea pig) is the source of this 7997-nucleotide long non-coding RNA. RefSeq lists it as uncharacterized. The record is from RefSeq and is a predicted model, not a curated record. Lineage: Eukaryota; Metazoa; Chordata; Mammalia; Rodentia; Caviidae. The transcript is spliced from 4 exons.